UUGGCCUACGGGACGCAGCAGUGGGGAAUAUUGCACAAUGGGGGAAACCCUGAUGCAGCGACGCCGCGUGAGUGAAGAAGUAUUUCGGUAUGUAAAGCUCUAUCAGCAGGGAAGAUAAUGACGGUACCUGACUAAGAAGCCCCGGCUAACUACGUGCCAGCAGCCGCGGUAAUACGUAGGGGGCAAGCGUUAUCCGGAUUUACUGGGUGUAAAGGGAGCGUAGACGGUGAGACAAGUCUGAAGUGAAAGCCCGGGG
RNAcentral lists this ribosomal RNA (256 nucleotides) under uncultured bacterium. Its description in RNAcentral is "partial 16S ribosomal RNA". It matches the Rfam family "Bacterial small subunit ribosomal RNA", at positions 334 to 607 of the family's 1533-position model. The record is from RNAcentral.